This 396-nucleotide ribosomal RNA is filed under the name uncultured bacterium. Its description in RNAcentral is "partial 16S ribosomal RNA". It matches the Rfam family "Bacterial small subunit ribosomal RNA", at positions 523 to 918 of the family's 1533-position model. The record is from RNAcentral.
AUACGUAGGGAGCGAGCGUUGUCCGGAAUUACUGGGUGUAAAGGGAGCGUAGGCGGGAGUGCAAGUCGGAUGUGAAAUACAUGGGCUCAACCCAUGGGCUGCAUUUGAAACCGCAUUUCUUGAGUGAAGUAGAGGUAAGCGGAAUUCCUGGUGUAGCGGUGAAAUGCGUAGAUAUCAGGAGGAACACCGGUGGCGAAGGCGGCUUACUGGGCUUUUACUGACGCUGAGGCGCGAAAGCGUGGGGAGCAAACAGGAUUAGAUACCCUGGUAGUCCACGCUGUAAACGAUGAAUACUAGGUGUGGGGGGACUGACCCCCUCCGUGCCGCAGUUAACACAAUAAGUAUUCCACCUGGGGAGUACGAUCGCAAGAUUGAAACUCAAAUGAAUUGACGGGG